This is a non-coding RNA of Zootermopsis nevadensis, 795 nucleotides long. NCBI's taxonomy places the organism in Eukaryota, Metazoa, Arthropoda, Insecta, Blattodea, Termopsidae. The record is from RefSeq and is a predicted model, not a curated record.
GGGACCAAUGUGAGUCAGUCUCUGCCCAGUGGUCUGACGAUUAUCGUCUCUUAGGUUUUUCCUGGCUUAUAAAGGAGGCAGAGGACCGACACAGGUUCACGGGGCUGCUUGCUGAUCCAUGAUUCUUUCCCGUGUGUGACUAAUCUUGAUUUGUGUUUUGUUUUAAUUGUUAUGGAUCUAGCACUUCCGAACCAGGAUUACCUCAGGAAGGGUGAGCUGGAAUACGAGAUCACCAUACGGAAGAGACUGCACCAACAACAGCUGAAGGUCCCCGGCCUCAGGAAAUAUUUACGUGAAUUACCAGGCAGCGAGAUUCACAUCUUGGCCAUGGAUUCCAUCGAACCACUGGGCCUACUGAUAGACUCGGAUGUAAUCAAUUUUCAUGGCCGCGUCUUCUUCGUGCCAUGUUGGUAGCCAUUCGCUGCGACGUUCCCAGAAAUCUUUCAUAGGAUGGCCGUCCCAGCUCCACGGUCGAUUACCAGUCCCUUCGGGGAAGAAAGUACCCCCAACGGCUACGUUCAAGAUGAUUUGGAACUGUAAUACAAGUCAAUGGACACCCAAAUAUGUUUAAAAUAUUAAGGUUGCCUUAUUAUCCAUAGUUACAAUCUUAAAAACGAUGUAGAACCUAUUAUAAUUUUUGGUAAUGGUAUUAAGAGAUAGUAUUAAUGAAAGGAUUACUCUGGAACGAUAAGUUUGCUAUUAUAUUAAUUUAUCAGCGGAUAGGCCUAUGCCAGUUAUUCGCCAUGGGUUCUCUUGAACCAGAUUUAACUGAAAUAAAUAAAUUGCUUAUUUAGU